This 201-nucleotide long non-coding RNA is filed under the name Bos taurus (domestic cattle). RNAcentral describes it as "long non-coding RNA NONBTAT004931". The record is from RNAcentral. Lineage: Eukaryota; Metazoa; Chordata; Mammalia; Artiodactyla; Bovidae.
GUUAGGCUGAAAUGCUCUUUCACUGUCUUCUCAUUCCAGCCUUGACCACUUUGGUCCUUGAACCAGUCAUGUCCCUAGAAUCCUAGUGAGCCUGGAUUAGAGCUUCCGUCAGUGGGCAAGCCAGAGACCCCAGCUAUCCACGAGACCCCAGCUAUCUGGGAGCCCUUGUGGUUUUGAAGAGAGGAUGUGAGGCCUCCAGGC